UUUAUAGCCUCUGGCUAUAGGAAAUUGUUAGUGGCAGACGGGUGAGUAAUGCGUAGGAAUCUACCUGGUAGUACGGAAUAGCCAUUAGAAAUGGUGGGUAAUACUGUAUAAUCCCCGAGGGGGAAAGAUUUAUCGCUAUUAGAUGAGCCUACGUUAGAUUAGCUAGUUGGUGAGGUAAUGGCUUACCAAGGCUAUGAUCUAUAGCUGGUCUGAGAGGACGAUCAGCCACACUGGAACUGAGAUACGGUCCAGACUCCUACGGGAGGCAGCAGUGGGGAAUAUUGGACAAUGGGCGAAAGCCUGAUCCGGCUAUGCCGCGUGAGUGAAGAAGGCCUUCGGGUUGUAAAACUCUUUCAAUAGGGAAGAUAAUGACGGUACCUAUAGAAGAAGUCCCGGCAAACUCUGUGCCAGCAGCCGCGGUAAUACGGAGGGGGCAAGCGUUGUUCGGAAUUAUUGGGCGUAAAGGGCACGUAGGUGGACUAGUAAGUUAAAAGUG
Molecule: ribosomal RNA, 496 nt
Filed under: Ehrlichia canis
Lineage: Bacteria; Pseudomonadati; Pseudomonadota; Alphaproteobacteria; Rickettsiales; Anaplasmataceae
Description: bacterial SSU rRNA
Rfam family: Bacterial small subunit ribosomal RNA
Source: RNAcentral